RNAcentral lists this ribosomal RNA (738 nucleotides) under Canicola haemoglobinophilus. Its description in RNAcentral is "bacterial SSU rRNA". It matches the Rfam family "Bacterial small subunit ribosomal RNA", at positions 1 to 728 of the family's 1533-position model. Lineage: Bacteria; Pseudomonadati; Pseudomonadota; Gammaproteobacteria; Pasteurellales; Pasteurellaceae. The record is from RNAcentral.
AAAUUGAAGAGUUUGAUCAUGGCUCAGAUUGAACGCUGGCGGCAGGCUUAACACAUGCAAGUCGAACGGUAACAGGAGAAAGCUUGCUUUCUUGCUGACGAGUGGCGGACGGGUGAGUAAUGCUUGGGAAUCUGGCUUAUGGAGGGGGAUAACCAUUGGAAACGAUGGCUAAUACCGCGUAAUAUCGGAAGAUUAAAGACUGGGACCGCAAGGCCAGUUGCCAUAAGAUGAGCCCAAGUGGGAUUAGGUAGUUGGUGGGGUAAGGGCCUACCAAGCCUUCGAUCUCUAGCUGGUCUGAGAGGAUGACCAGCCACACUGGAACUGAGACACGGUCCAGACUCCUACGGGAGGCAGCAGUGGGGAAUAUUGCGCAAUGGGGGCAACCCUGACGCAGCCAUGCCGCGUGAAUGAAGAAGGCCUUCGGGUUGUAAAGUUCUUUCGGUGAUGAGGAAGGGAGUUAUGUUAAUAGCAUAAUUCAUUGACGUUAGUCACAGAAGAAGCACCGGCUAACUCCGUGCCAGCAGCCGCGGUAAUACGGAGGGUGCGAGCGUUAAUCGGAAUAACUGGGCGUAAAGGGCACGCAGGCGGUUGAUUAAGUGAGGUGUGAAAUCCCUGGGCUUAACCUAGGAAUUGCAUUUCAGACUGGUCGGCUAGAGUACUUUAGGGAGGGGUAGAAUUCCACGUGUAGCGGUGAAAUGCGUAGAGAUGUGGAGGAAUACCGAAGGCGAAGGCAGCCCC